GUGAUAUGAACCGUUAUAACCGGCGAUACCCGAAUGGGGAAACCCAGUGUGAUUCGUCACACUAUCAUUAACUGAAUCCAUAGGUUAAUGAGGCGAACCGGGGGAACUGAAACAUCUAAGUACCCCGAGGAAAAGAAAUCAACCGAGAUUCCCCCAGUAGCGGCGAGCGAACGGGGAGGAGCCCAGAGCCUGAAUCAGCAUGUGUGUUAGUGGAAGCGUCUGGAAAGGCGCGCGAUACAGGGUGACAGCCCCGUACACAAAAGCGCAUGUGCUGUGAGCUCGAUGAGUAGGGCGGGACACGUGGUAUCCUGUCUGAAUAUGGGGGGACCAUCCUCCAAGGCUAAAUACUCCUGACUGACCGAUAGUGAACCAGUACCGUGAGGGAAAGGCGAAAAGAACCCCGGCGAGGGGAGUGAAAAAGAACCUGAAACCGU
This 434-nucleotide ribosomal RNA is filed under the name Salmonella enterica. Its description in RNAcentral is "partial 23S ribosomal RNA". It matches the Rfam family "Bacterial large subunit ribosomal RNA", at positions 86 to 559 of the family's 2925-position model. Lineage: Bacteria; Pseudomonadati; Pseudomonadota; Gammaproteobacteria; Enterobacterales; Enterobacteriaceae. RNAcentral also lists the same sequence under 2 other names. The record is from RNAcentral.